UACGUAGGGGGCUAGCGUUGUCCGGAUUUAUUGGGCGUAAAGAGCGUGUAGGCGGCCAGGUAGGUCUGCUGUGAAAACUCGAGGCUUAACCUCGAGAUGUCGGCGGAAACCAUCUGGCUAGAGUCCGGAAGAGGAGAGUGGAAUUCCUGGUGUAGCGGUGAAAUGCGCAGAUAUCAGGAAGAACACCCGUGGCGAAAGCACUCUGCUGGGCCGACACUGACACUGAGAGACGAAAGCUAGGGGAGCGAAUGGG
RNAcentral lists this ribosomal RNA (253 nucleotides) under uncultured bacterium. RNAcentral describes it as "partial 16S ribosomal RNA". It matches the Rfam family "Bacterial small subunit ribosomal RNA", at positions 524 to 776 of the family's 1533-position model. The record is from RNAcentral.